Selaginella moellendorffii is the source of this 533-nucleotide long non-coding RNA. RefSeq lists it as uncharacterized. Lineage: Eukaryota; Viridiplantae; Streptophyta; Lycopodiopsida; Selaginellales; Selaginellaceae. The transcript has 2 exons. The record is from RefSeq and is a predicted model, not a curated record.
AGGUACCUCGCUCCCCUGCGAAGAAAUGGAUUCAACACUAGCGCACACGUGUGUUGUCGAGAGACUAUAUAUCGCUUCCAGAGGUGUAUGAUCAAGCUGUAUGAUCGAAAGCAAUCACAUGGAAAUGACUAUAUUUCGAGCAAGACGAUUGGAAAAUAAAAAGAGAGAUCUCUCUGGAAAAAGCAACGCAAAAUCUGAGAGAAAUGAAAGAGCAUCAGUAACAGCAGCAGCAGUGGCGGAGAAGUUUUUGGAUGAUACUAACGGGCAACAAAGAGCUAAGUUCUAAAGCUUCUCUUUUCUGUAAAGCUGAUACUUUGCUUUGCUUCUUUGUUUAAUCAGGCGAACGCAUACGGACGAUCGCAGCCCCGCAACGGAUACCUACGCUCUCCCAUACAAUACAUUCCAGAAGAAUAUUCUGUCAGGGGAUUGGACGAAUAUUCUCUCGAGAACAGAAUAUACUGGAAGCAGAAUAUACCUUGCUAGUCGUUGAAAAGGGUGGAGAAAUAAAAAAUAUUCGGUGCUUAGCGUGAGAA